AAGCGAAGCAGUGAUGUGAAGCAAAUCGCACCAAAGACCAGUCCCAGUUCGGNUAAGAGGCUGAAACUCGCCUCUUUGAAGUCGGAAUCGCUAGUAAUCGCAGAUCAGCAUGUUGCGGUGAAUACGUUCCCGGGUCUUGUACACACCGCCCGUCAAACCAUGAGAGUCACCAACACCCGAAGUCCGCCUUGGCGGCCUAAGGUGGGGGAGAUGAUUGGGGUUAAGUCGUAACAAGGUAGC
RNAcentral lists this ribosomal RNA (240 nucleotides) under uncultured bacterium. RNAcentral describes it as "partial 16S ribosomal RNA". It matches the Rfam family "Bacterial small subunit ribosomal RNA", at positions 1247 to 1500 of the family's 1533-position model. The record is from RNAcentral.